This 594-nucleotide long non-coding RNA is filed under the name Oryza brachyantha (malo sina). RNAcentral's name for it is "long non-coding RNA (OBRA_LNC003488)". The record is from RNAcentral. Lineage: Eukaryota; Viridiplantae; Streptophyta; Magnoliopsida; Poales; Poaceae.
UUUCUCAUGUAUCCUAACCAUCACCUUCCUUCUAAUAGCUUCCAACAUGCUAAUAAUGGGUAGGAACCUAGCCUGAACUAUCCAUUUGUUGAAUGUCUCACAAAUAUUAUUGUCUACAGAAUCAUAGUUUGAUCCAAACCUGAACCAGGCCCUGCUCCAGUGCCUUGGAUCUGUGUUCAUGAUGGCCCUUGCACCUUCAACUGUCUCUUGUGCCAGUUUUGCCUUAGCUAGGUUGAAGAGCAUGACAUUUGGAGCUUUGGCACACCUCCAGAACUUCUUCUGUCAUUGCUUCUUGCUGAAUUUCUUCUUCCAGUUGGCAUAAAUAUGCCUUGCACAAUUUCUGUGCUCAGCACUUGGAGCCCGGUUCUGAACUGCAUUUACAAUACCCUACAAUCAAGCACAAAACAUCCAUGUAAUUACUCCACCACAUCAUGAAUUAAAACAAAGAAUAGUAUCCAAAAUAUUUACAAAGGCAGAGAAUGCUAUACCUUCUGCUGGUCUGAGAUAAACACCCAGUCAUCACCAUCACCAACUGCCAAGUCUUUGCAGAGCAAAUCACAGAACCAAUCCCAUGAGUCAUUUGUUUCCUUCUCC